Molecule: ribosomal RNA, 245 nt
Filed under: uncultured bacterium
Lineage: Bacteria
Description: partial 16S ribosomal RNA
Rfam family: Bacterial small subunit ribosomal RNA
Source: RNAcentral
UACGUAGGUGACAAGCGUUAUCCGGAUUUACUGGGCGUAAAGGGAGCGUAGGCGGAUAAUUAAGUGGGAUGUGAAAUACCCGGGCUCAACCUGGGUGCUGCAUUCCAAACUGGUUAUCUAGAGUGCAGGAGAGGAGAGUGGAAUUCCUAGUGUAGCGGUGAAAUGCGUAGAGAUUAGGAAGAACACCAGUGGCGAAGGCGACUCUCUGGACUGUAACUGACGCUGAGGCUCGAAAGCGUGGGGAG